AUUGAACGCUGGCGGCAGGCCUAACACAUGCAAGUCGAACGAGUGGCGGACGUGUGAGUAAGGUCUGGGAAACUGCCCGAUGGAGGAGGAUAACUACUGGAAACGGUAGCUAAUACCGCAUACCAUCGGAUGUGCCCCGAUGGGAGUAGCUAGUAGGUGGGGUAACGGCUCACCUAGGAGACGAUCCUUAGCUGGUCUGAGAGGAUGAACAGCCACACUGGACCUGAGACACGGUCCAGACUCCUACGGGAGGCAGUAGUGGGGAAUAUUGCACAAUGGGCUCAAGCCUGAUGCAGCCAUGCCGCGUGUAUGAAGAAGGCCUUCGGGUUGUAAAGUACUUGCAGCGAGGAGGCGUUACUCGCAGAAGAAGCACCGGCUAACUCCGUGCCAGCAGCCGCGGUAAUAC
This 406-nucleotide ribosomal RNA is filed under the name uncultured bacterium. Its description in RNAcentral is "partial 16S ribosomal RNA". It matches the Rfam family "Bacterial small subunit ribosomal RNA", at positions 30 to 526 of the family's 1533-position model. The record is from RNAcentral.